GGCUCAGGACGAACGCWGGCGGCAUGCCUAAUACAUGCAAGUCGAGCGGACUUGAAGAGAAGCUUGCUUCUCUGAUGGUUAGCGGCGGACGGGUGAGUAACACGUAGGCAACCUGCCCUCAAGUUUGGGACAACUACCGGAAACGGUAGCUAAUACCGAAUARUUGUUUUCUUCKCCUGAAGRRAACUGGAAAGACGGAGCAAUCUGUCACUUGGGGAUGGGCCUGCGGCGCAUUAGCUAGUUGGUGAGGUAACGGCUCACCAAGGCGACGAUGCGUAGCCGACCUGAGAGGGUGAUCGGCCACACUGGGACUGAGACACGGCCCAGACUCCUACGGGAGGCAGCAGUAGGGAAUCUUCCGCAAUGGGCGAAAGCCUGACGGAGCAAUGCCGCGUGAGUGAUGAAGGUUUUCGGAUCGUAAAGCUCUGUUGCCAGGGAAGAACGCUUGGGAGAGUAACUGCUCUACAAGGUGACGGUACC
RNAcentral lists this ribosomal RNA (480 nucleotides) under Paenibacillus sp. ARK-74. RNAcentral describes it as "bacterial SSU rRNA". It matches the Rfam family "Bacterial small subunit ribosomal RNA", at positions 21 to 479 of the family's 1533-position model. Lineage: Bacteria; Bacillati; Bacillota; Bacilli; Caryophanales; Paenibacillaceae. The record is from RNAcentral.